ACGGACCAAUGGUGUACCAGUCAUGCCGCCAGGUGUGCAGCUGGGUAGCUACGUCCGGGACGGAUAAACGCUGAAAGCAUCUAAGCGUGAAACCAGCCUAAAGAUGAGGUUUCUCAUUGUGAAAGCAGGUAAGGUCCCAUGAAGACGACAUGGUAGAUAGGCCGGGAGUGGAAGUGCAGUGAUGCACGGAGCGGACCGGUACUAAUAGACCGAGGGCUUGACUUA
RNAcentral lists this ribosomal RNA (225 nucleotides) under Megasphaera sp. ASD88. RNAcentral's name for it is "partial 23S ribosomal RNA". It matches the Rfam family "Bacterial large subunit ribosomal RNA", at positions 2701 to 2925 of the family's 2925-position model. The record is from RNAcentral. Lineage: Bacteria; Bacillati; Bacillota; Negativicutes; Veillonellales; Veillonellaceae.